RNAcentral lists this ribosomal RNA (253 nucleotides) under uncultured bacterium. Its description in RNAcentral is "partial 16S ribosomal RNA". It matches the Rfam family "Bacterial small subunit ribosomal RNA", at positions 524 to 776 of the family's 1533-position model. The record is from RNAcentral.
UACAGAGGGUGCGAGCGUUAAUCGGAAUUACUGGGCGUAAAGGGUGCGUAGGUGGUUUAGUAAGUCGUUUGUGAAAUACACGGGCUCAACCUGUGUGCUGCGGACGAUACUGCUGAGCUAGAGUAGAGUAGAGGAAAGUGGAAUUUCCGGUGUAGCGGUGAAAUGCGUAGAUAUCGGAAGGAACACCAGUGGCGAAGGCGGCUUCCUGGACUCAUACUGACGCUGAGGCGCGAAAGCCAGGGGAGCGAACGGG